UGGUAGUCCAUGCGUAAACGAUGAGCGCUAGGUGUUGGGGACUUUCCGGUCUCAGUGCCGCAGCAAACGCAUUAAGCGCUCCGCUGGGGAGUACGACCGCAAGGUUGAAACUCAAAGGAAUUGACGGGGGCCCGCACAAGCGGUGGAGCAUGUGGUUUAAUUCGAAGCAACGCGAAGAACCUUACCAGGUCUUGACAUCCUGUGCUACACCUAGAGAUAGGUGGUUCCCUUCGGGGACGCAGAGACAGGUGGUGCAUGGCUGUCGUCAGCUCGCGUCGUGAGAUGUUGGGUUAAGUCCCGCAACGAGCGCAACCCUUGUCUUUAGUUGCCAUCAUUAAGUUGGGCACUCUAAAGAGACUGCCGGUGACAAACCGGAGGAAGGUGGGGAUGACGUCAAGUCAUCAUGCCCCUUAUGACCUGGGCUACACACGUGCUACAAUGGGCAGUACAACGAGAAGCGAACCCGCGAGGGUAAGCGGAUCUCUUAAAGCUGUUCUCAGUUCGGACUGCAGGCUGCAACUCGCCUGCACGAAGCUGGAAUCGCUAGUAAUCGCGGAUCAGCACGCCGCGGUGAAUACGUUCCCGGGCCUUGUACACACCGCCCGUCACACCAUGGAAGUCUGCAAUGCCCAAAGUCGGUGGGAUAACCUUAUGGAGUCAGCCGCCUAAGGCAGGGCAGAUGACUGGGGUGAAGUCGUAACAAGGUAACCAAGGGCGAAUUCCAG
This 725-nucleotide ribosomal RNA is filed under the name uncultured Lactobacillus sp. Its description in RNAcentral is "bacterial SSU rRNA". It matches the Rfam family "Bacterial small subunit ribosomal RNA", at positions 788 to 1516 of the family's 1533-position model. Lineage: Bacteria; Bacillati; Bacillota; Bacilli; Lactobacillales; Lactobacillaceae. The record is from RNAcentral.